GGGAACUCUGACACAGGUGCUGCAUGGCUGUCGUCAGCUCGUGUCCGUGAGAUGUUGGGUUAACGUCCCGUAACGAGCGCAACCCUUGUCCUUAGUUACCAGCACGGUUAUGGUGGGCACUCUAAGGAGACUGCCGGUGACAAACCGGAGGAAGUGGGGAUGAACGUCAAGUCAUCCAUGGCCCUUACGGCCUGGGCUACACACGUGCUACAAUGGUCGGUACAAAGGGUUGCCAAGCCGCGAGGUGGAGCUAAUCCCAUAAAACCGAUCGUAGUCCGGAUCGCAGUCUGCAACUCGACUGCGUGAAGUCGGAAUCGCUAGUAAUCGUGAAUCAGAAUGUCACGGUGAAUACGUUCCCGGGCCUU
This 365-nucleotide ribosomal RNA is filed under the name uncultured Pseudomonas sp. RNAcentral's name for it is "bacterial SSU rRNA". It matches the Rfam family "Bacterial small subunit ribosomal RNA", at positions 1022 to 1382 of the family's 1533-position model. Lineage: Bacteria; Pseudomonadati; Pseudomonadota; Gammaproteobacteria; Pseudomonadales; Pseudomonadaceae. The record is from RNAcentral.